Molecule: ribosomal RNA, 587 nt
Filed under: uncultured bacterium
Lineage: Bacteria
Description: bacterial SSU rRNA
Rfam family: Bacterial small subunit ribosomal RNA
Source: RNAcentral
UCCUACGGGAGGCAGCAGUGGGGAAUAUUGCGCAAUGGGCGAAAGCCUGAUGCAGCCAUGCCGCGUGUGUGAAGAAGGCCUUCGGGUUGUAAAGCACUUUCAGCGAGGAGGAAAGGGUGAGUCUUAAUACGGCUUACCUGUGACGUUACUCGCAGAAGAAGCACCGGCUAACUCCGUGCCAGCAGCCGCGGUAAUACGGAGGGUGCGAGCGUUAAUCGGAAUUACUGGGCGUAAAGCGCAUGCAGGCGGCUGAUUAAGCCAGAUGUGAAAGCCCGGGGCUUAACCUCGGAAUUGCAUUUGGAACUGGUCAGCUAGAGUUCUUGAGAGGGUGGUAGAAUUUCAGGUGUAGCGGUGAAAUGCGUAGAGAUCUGAAGGAAUACCGGUGGCGAAGGCGGCCACCUGGCAAGUAACUGACGCUCAGAUGCGAAAGCGUGGGGAGCAAACAGGAUUAGAUACCCUGGUAGUCCACGCCGUAAACGAUGUCUACUCGGAGUUUGGUGUCUUGAACACUGGGCUCUCAAGCUAACGCAUUAAGUAGACCGCCUGGGGAGUACGGCCGCAAGGUUAAAACUCAAAUGAAUUGACGG